CCUACGGGGGGCUGCAGUGGGGAAUAUUGGACAAUGGGGGGAACCCUGAUCCAGCCAUGCCGCGUGUGUGAAGAAGGCCCUCGGGUUGUAAAGCACUUUCAGUGAGGAAGAACGCCUGGUGGUUAAUACCCAUCAGGAAAGACAUCACUCACAGAAGAAGCACCGGCUAACUCCGUGCCAGCAGCCGCGGUAAUACGGAGGGUGCGAGCGUUAAUCGGAAUUACUGGGCGUAAAGCGCGCGUAGGUGGCUUGAUAAGCCGGUUGUGAAAGCCCCGGGCUCAACCUGGGAACGGCAUCCGGAACUGUCAAGCUAGAGUGCAGGAGAGGAAGGUAGAAUUCCCGGUGUAGCGGUGAAAUGCGUAGAGAUCGGGAGGAAUAACAGUGGCGAAGGCGGCCUUCUGGACUGACACUGACACUGAGGUGCGAAAGCGUGGGUAGCAAACAGGAUUAGAUACCCGUGUAGUC
Molecule: ribosomal RNA, 465 nt
Filed under: Vreelandella stevensii
Lineage: Bacteria; Pseudomonadati; Pseudomonadota; Gammaproteobacteria; Oceanospirillales; Halomonadaceae
Description: partial 16S ribosomal RNA
Rfam family: Bacterial small subunit ribosomal RNA
Source: RNAcentral